RNAcentral lists this ribosomal RNA (275 nucleotides) under uncultured Anoxybacillus sp. RNAcentral describes it as "partial 16S ribosomal RNA". It matches the Rfam family "Bacterial small subunit ribosomal RNA", at positions 1105 to 1382 of the family's 1533-position model. Lineage: Bacteria; Bacillati; Bacillota; Bacilli; Caryophanales; Anoxybacillaceae. The record is from RNAcentral.
UCGACCUUAGUUGCCAGCAUUCAGUUGGGCACUCUAAGGUGACUGCCGGCUAAAAGUCGGAGGAAGGUGGGGAUGACGUCAAAUCAUCAUGCCCCUUAUGACCUGGGCUACACACGUGCUACAAUGGGCGGUACAAAGGGUCGCGAACCCGCAGGGGGAGCCAAUCCCAAAAAGCCGCUCUCAGUUCGGAUUGCAGGCUGCAACUCGCCUGCAUGAAGCCGGAAUCGCUAGUAAUCGCGGAUCAGCAUGCCGCGGUGAAUACGUUCCCGGGCCUU